UAUGUAGUUGGCGGGGCAACGGCCCACCAAGGCGACGAUGUCUAGGGGUUCUGAGAGGAAGGUCCCCCACACUGGUACUGAGACACGGACCAGACUCCUACGGAAGGCAGCAG
This 113-nucleotide ribosomal RNA is filed under the name uncultured bacterium. Its description in RNAcentral is "partial 16S ribosomal RNA". It matches the Rfam family "Bacterial small subunit ribosomal RNA", at positions 241 to 354 of the family's 1533-position model. The record is from RNAcentral.